UCGGCGGCCAUAGCGAGAGGGAAACGCCCGGCAACAUUCCGAACCCGGAAGCUAAGACUCUCAGCGCCGAUGGUACUGCAAGGGAGACCCUGUGGGAGAGUAGGACACCGC
This 111-nucleotide ribosomal RNA is filed under the name Subtercola lobariae. The record is from RNAcentral. Lineage: Bacteria; Bacillati; Actinomycetota; Actinomycetes; Micrococcales; Microbacteriaceae.